CAAAGGUUUGGUCCUGGCCUUGAGGUCAGUUAUUACUUAGUAUACACAUGCAAGUAUCCGCCCCCCUGUGAAAACGCCCUUUAACCCCUUUUAGGGACAAGGAGCUGGUAUCAGGCUCUAAAAUCAGCCCAAGACACCUAGCUAUGCCACACCCACAAGGGAAUUCAGCAGUGAUUAACAUUGAGCAUUAGCGAAAGCUUGACUCAGUUAAAGUAAAAUAGAGCCGGCUAAUCUGGUGCCAGCCGCCGCGGUUACACCACGUGGCUCAAAUUGACCUCCUCCGGCGUAAAGCGUGAUUAAAGUUUCUUCAUACUAGAGUUAAACUAAAACUAAGCUGUGACACGCCUGUUUAUUAAGAAACCCAAGAACGAAAGUUACUCUAUCAUAACCAACUUGAAUUCACGACAGCUAGG
This 413-nucleotide ribosomal RNA is filed under the name Anaxyrus americanus (American toad). Its description in RNAcentral is "partial 12S ribosomal RNA". The record is from RNAcentral. Lineage: Eukaryota; Metazoa; Chordata; Amphibia; Anura; Bufonidae.